GUAGGGAAUAUUGGGCAAUGGGCGAGAGCCUGACCCGGCCAUGCCGCGUGCAGGAUGAAGGCUUUCUGAGUCGUAAACUGCUUUUGCCAGGGAAGAAAAAGAGGGAUGCGUCCUUCACUGACGGUACCUGGUGACUAAGCACCGGCUAACUCCGUUCCAGCAGCCGCGGUAAUACGGAGGGUGCAAGCGUUGUCCGGAUUUAUUGGGUUUAAAGGGUGCGUAGGCGGUUCGUUAAGUCCGGGGUGAAAGCCCACUGCUCAACAGUGGAACUGCCCUGGAAACUGGCGAACUUGAGUACAGACGAGGGUGGCGGAAUGGAUGGUGUAGCGGUGAAAUGCAUAGAUACCAUCCAGAACCCCGAUUGCGAAGGCAGCUGCCUAGACUGUAACUGACGCUGAGGCACGAAAGCGUGGGGAGCGAAC
Molecule: ribosomal RNA, 422 nt
Filed under: uncultured bacterium
Lineage: Bacteria
Description: bacterial SSU rRNA
Rfam family: Bacterial small subunit ribosomal RNA
Source: RNAcentral